UAGGGAGCAAGCGUUGUCCGGAUUUACUGGGUGUAAAGGGUGCGUAGGCGGCUUUGCAAGUAAGAUGUGAAAUCUAUGGGCUCAACCCAUAAACUGCAUUUGAAACUGUAGAGCUUGAGUGAAGUAGAGGCAGGCGGAAUUCCCCGUGUAGCGGUGAAAUGCGUAGAGAUGGGGAGGAACACCAGUGGCGAAGGCGGCCUGCUGGGCUUUAACUGACGCUGAGGCACGAAAGCGUGGGUAGCAAA
RNAcentral lists this ribosomal RNA (245 nucleotides) under uncultured bacterium. Its description in RNAcentral is "partial 16S ribosomal RNA". It matches the Rfam family "Bacterial small subunit ribosomal RNA", at positions 528 to 772 of the family's 1533-position model. The record is from RNAcentral.